GCCUCCUUCCUUGUUAGACAGUCAUGAAGCAGACGAGAAAUGUUCAGACUGUCUCUUACAGAGGGAAUGAAACCUCCCGAGAAACUCUGGAAGAAAGAAGAAAGAAAAAUUCUUAACGCUGCAGCAUUCACCUAUAAACAGACCUAUCUUUGACAAGAGCUUGGAGAAUCAUUAUCCGGAGAAUGAUUGUCCAAAUCCUCACUGAUUUGCAGUCUAUCAGCUGUUUGCAGACUCUGGGAUGAUGGUUAAAAAUAGUCAUCUAUUCAGUUGAUCAGACAACAAUCGCCUCUGAGAAAAUGAGGUUCAGUGAGAGGAGAGGUGACUUCAUCACCACCCAGCCUUUGUGAUCAGAACAGGAGCAGAAGUAGGACUGCCAGAAGAUGGAUGUGUCUGGAGACUGACAGAGGAAACUUGUCAACAAAAGCCUUUUGUCAUCAUCAUGGUAUAGUGUUCCUACUAACCUUCUUCAGCUAUUUCCUGUUCCAGGUUCCCAAAAAAGACAUUCAAUGAUGUCAAGAUCAAGGUUUCCAGCUAAUGGACUUUCUCCUGAGCUAUUUGGACUUUGAAAUAGUGAACAUUUGUCUCAAUUUCCCCUAGUGACAUUGGACAUUAUUUUUCUCACCCUGUGAGACCCUGUGUCAGUGACAUGAUUGGAUUUAACAAGUUUUUGUUGAUUGUAAUUAGGUUUUUACAUAGCAUCCUUCCUUACUCCAGGUGUUGUUGCUGCUCAAGCUUUAGCUACGCUUAAUAAGUUGGGAUGCUAGGCAGCCAAGUAGUUAAAUAGAACUUUAAUUAUUUCAUAUCAGAUGCUCACUUAUGUAGAUAGUAUUAGACACAACACACUGUAAAAUAGAGCUGUUAUAGAGUUUUGCUAUUAUCACAUGGGCAUGGAUGUGAGGAUUUUGAAGGAAUGUGUUGUAUGAACCUCUCUGACCAUUCUGCAUCCAUCCGUGGGAAAACUCAGACAAGUACAGGAUAAUAUGAAGAGGUUGACUGCUGGUGACUGGGGGUUGGAUGAAUGGUUUGAGGGAUGGGGAAUCACUGGAUGGUUGAAGGAUAUUACAAAGGGAGCUAUGUUGUUACUGGUAGUCAUUGUUUUGUUGCUUUGUAUUAUUCCAUGCAUUGUGGAGUUGGUGACUCGCUUUAUGAAAAAUACAGUAAAGAGAGUUUGUCUGGAGCAAGAAAAAAGAAAGGAGAAUUGUAGCAAUUCAUCUGUAUUACAGGCCAUUUUGAUGCACCAGCCAAACGGUUUGUAAGUAAUCUUAUCAAGCCACCUGCAGUUUUGUUAUUAGAACCCUCAGGAAUUCGUCAAGGUUACUGAGAAAAACAGGGCUAAAAAUAAGAAGAGCCUGAGAAUCUGAUGACCAAGAAUGCUAAACCUAGAUAAAGGAGGCACAACGUGUUGAUGAACCCUGACCAAUUAGAUGUCCUGAAGGAGAUGUACCUGCCUCUUGAACAAGCAAUUUAGCCAACCCAGAGGUGUGCCCACAUGGACGGGAGACUUAGAAUCUAUAAUUGGAAUUGUAUUGUAAACAAUAAACGGCUUCUGGUGAAAUCAUAUUGGUUCAUCUAUUCAGUUGUCCUUAUCAUCCUGUGUGGGCCUGACAUUGGUCUGAACUUAGGCUUCAGGAUCUGCCAGUGUCUGUGUGAAAGGCAGGUGAGCAACUUUCUCAUGUUAGCCUGAGAAAUCUAAAGGAGGAAUUCAAACAAACCUUGAGAAGUGAGAAACCAUCCGCAGGUGGUGUUUUUCCAACAUGUUUACUGGAAAGAAAUGUUUACUAAAGGGUGUAGAAGCUGAAUAACCAAUAAUGUUCUUUG
Molecule: long non-coding RNA, 1818 nt
Organism: Prinia subflava (tawny-flanked prinia)
Lineage: Eukaryota; Metazoa; Chordata; Aves; Passeriformes; Cisticolidae
Exons: 3
Source: RefSeq, a predicted model, not a curated record